UACGUAGGGGGCAAGCGUUGUCCGGAAUCAUUGGGCGUAAAGAGCGUGUAGGCGGCUUGGUAAGUCCGCUGUGAAAGUCCAGGGCUCAACCCUGGAAUGCCGGUGGAAACUGUCAAGCUUGAGUCCGGAAGAGGCGAGUGGAAUUCCUGGUGUAGCGGUGAAAUGCGCAGAUAUCAGGAGGAACACCAAUGGCGAAGGCAGCUCGCUGGGACGGUACUGACGCUGAGACGCGAAAGCGUGGGGAGCAA
RNAcentral lists this ribosomal RNA (248 nucleotides) under uncultured bacterium. RNAcentral's name for it is "partial 16S ribosomal RNA". It matches the Rfam family "Bacterial small subunit ribosomal RNA", at positions 524 to 771 of the family's 1533-position model. The record is from RNAcentral.